CUCACAAAGACACCGAACAUCACCGUGUGUCUUCAUGAGCCACCAACCAGACAGAAACGAGAACCAAACAAAUUUUGAUUGAAUUUUAUCAUUUACGUAAAUCCUCUUUACAUAUCUAUCUCAAACAAACGAACAUUUAAAUAUAGAUUUUUUUUAAAUCCAUUAUACGCAUCAUGAUUAAUCCAGGGAACCAAACAGGCUCCAACUCCCAACAAAUGCGUCCCCUGCUUCAUUAACGAGUGGCCCACCUCAACUUUCUAAACUCAACGUCUCCAACCAAUAAGCAAGCUCCACGUGAACACCAACAACAUGCAAACCCCACAAUCAAAAUCAUUCCUCAUUCUGACCAAGUCAUCUCCGAUCACCAACAGCCCAAACCUCCGACCGAGUCCCCAGUCAUCCCCUCCUUCGUUCUCUAUCGAAUGGCUAAACUCCCUACGUCCAUAACGUAGUCUUCCUCCUCCAUCGGCGGCAAUCGCUAUGACCAGAGGUGAGAAAGAUGGGUAUCCUCCCAUUUUCUCCCUCAUCAUCUUCUUCUCCUCUGCGGCCCUUGUCCCCCAAGCCCGCGCACUCUCCUCUCCUACCGACGCCAACUCUCAACCGACCAUCAAGUUCACACCGACUGAUAACUAUCUGAUAAGCUGUGGCUCCCCAAAUACCGACAGACUCAACGAUGGUCGCACAUUCAAAUCCGACGCCCAGUCUCUCUCCUCCCUCUCCACCAAAGACAACAUCAAGAUUGUUGACACCAACACCAAUGCCAAUGACUCCAUCCCUCCGUUGUAUUCAUCCGCUAGAGUUUUCACCGACCUCUCCACAUACAAAUUCACCACCACACCCGGCCACCACUGGGUCCGCCUCCAUUUUUACCCGUUGCCGGACCCCACCCACAAUAUGAGCUCAGCCAAGUUCACUGUCAAUACCGAUGAUAUUGUCCUACUACGCGACUUUUCCAUUUCCGCCACCACACCGCUCAUCAAAGAGUACCUCAUUGUCUCCAAGGAUGGAGUAUCCCUCAAUUUCGCCCCCAGCAAAGGAUCCAUCGCAUUCAUCAACGCCAUUGAAUUAGUCAGCGCCCCUGAUAGCCUCAUCCACAGCACCGCCAAGGCUAUCUCUCCCGAAGGGGAAUUUUCCGGGAUCUCCAACUAUGCACUCGAGGUCACCCACCGGCUUAAUGUGGGAGGUCCCGAGAUUCAAUCGGCUAAUGACACGUUGGCUAGAACGUGGCGGUCUGAUACUGAGUUCUUAAAACUCCCUCAAUCAGCAAAGAGUGUGCUUGUUCUUCCGAAGACUAUAAAAUACCCUAGCGAUGGCUCUGUUACUGAUCUUGAUGCUCCGAGCUUGGUGUAUUCGACUGCGGUGGAGAUGGGUAAUUCUAAUGUGUCUCAACCCAAUUUUAAUAUUACAUGGGAAGUUCCUAGCAAUCCAGAAUUCUCGUAUCUGAUCCGUAUGCAUUUUUGCGAUAUUGUAAGCAAGAACCUUAAUAGCCUAUAUUUCAAUGUUUACCUCAAUGGAAUGACGGUGGUUUCAAGUCUCGACCUAUCUACGCUGACUACUGGCCUUGCAGUCGCUUACAUGAAGGAUUUUGUGGUCAAUGCAUCCACCAUAGUUAACUCAACCAUCCUUGUUCAGGUGGGUGUAGUUCCUGGAUCAAGCUCUGGAAACCCUAAUGCCAUCCUCAAUGGCCUCGAGGUCAUGAAGAUGAGCAACUUGGCGGGGAGCUUGGACGGUGCUUAUGCAGUUGACGGCUCGUACCAUGGCAAUGAGGUUAAAAAGAGUCGGACAAAGAAGAUUGUAGCAGGUGUGGGCAUUACAAUGGGCGCGAUUGCACUUGCCUUGUUUGGCUUUAUGUUCCUUCAAUGGAGGAAACAACACUUGGAGAAGAAGAGGAAUAGCUUCUCAUCAUGGCUCCUGCCAGUGCACACUAACAACUCAAAUUUAGCAAGCAAUUCCACAAAGGGGAGCUCAAGACACAAGUUUGGAUCUCGUAAGAGUAGUAGACAAGGGCACACAAGUUAUUUCGCAGCAAAUGGCCUUGGUAUCGGCAGAUACUUCAGCCUUGCCGAACUACAAGAAGCAACGAAGAAUUUCGAUGAGAAUGCAGUAAUUGGAGUGGGAGGGUUCGGAAAAGUAUAUAUUGGAGAGCUUGAAGAUGGGACAAAGUUGGCUGUGAAACGUGGCAAUCCAUCAUCAGAUCAAGGGAUCAAUGAAUUCCAUACAGAGAUAGAAAUGCUCUCGAAGCUAAGGCAUCGCCACCUAGUCUCCCUCAUUGGAUGCUGCGAUGAGAACUCAGAGAUGAUACUGGUGUAUGAAUUCAUGGCAAAUGGUCCUCUAAGAGAUCACCUCUACGGAAGCACUUCACAUACUCCACUCUCUUGGAAACAACGGUUAGAAGCAUGCAUUGGAGCAGCAAGGGGGUUACACUACCUCCAUACCGGUGCAGCACAGGGGAUCAUCCAUCGCGAUGUCAAGACCACCAACAUUCUGCUCGAUGAAAACCUUGUUGGAAAAAUGGCAGACUUUGGCUUGUCCAAGACAGGCCCUUCACUUCAACAAACCCAUGUGAGCACUGCAGUGAAAGGGAGCUUCGGGUAUUUAGACCCAGAAUAUUUCCGCUCACAACAGCUUACUGACAAAUCUGAUGUCUACUCCUUUGGUGUGGUACUCUUUGAGGUACUAUGUGCAAGGCCAGCCAUUAUUCCCACACUCCCAAGAGACCAGGUGAAUUUGGCUGAGUGGGCAAUGCAAUCGAACAGAAAAGGACAGUUGGAGAAGAUCAUUGAUCCAAAUCUGGUCGGCAAAAUUAGCCCAGCUUCAUUAAAGAAGUUCGUGGAGGCUGCUGAGAAGUGUGUAGCUGAGCAUGGAGUGGAUCGUCCAACGAUGGGCGAUGUGUUGUGGAACCUUGAGUAUGCCUUGCAGCUUCAAGAGGCUUCUAUAGGACAGCAUAGUGAUGAGCCUUCUGGUGAUAGUUCCAGGCAUCUAGUACUGGAAAGCCCAGAGCGUGAGGAAGGAAACUUGGCCACCAUCAACGAAUCUGAGGAGUCACCAAUUUUAGUGCCUGCACCACUGUUUCAAGGAAGAUGAACCUAACUGGGUUUCCCAAAGCCUCUUAACUUCAUUUUGUGCGCACAUGAAAAAGAUACUAAUUUCCAAUGUCUGAAGAAAUAUCUUCUUGAUGGAGAGUUUAUCAGGUCGGAAGAUGGUGGUUUUACGCUAGAUCCAAUUCCCAAUUUCUGAAGAAAUAUCUUCUUAAUGGAGUUUAUCAGGUCAGAGAAUGGUGGUUUUACGCUGCUCCUAACAUAGAUUCAUUAUCAUCCCUUCGCUUGAGAACAGGAUUUACCAUUCACCCAAUCCUACUUCAUGAUGUAAAGGAUUGGAGGCAAUCUUCUCCUCAGUUUGGUGAGCCAUAUUUGUAAAUCAGUAAUUAACUGUAAUAUCAUCUGAGAUCCUGUAUUUACUAAGCUUACUCAUAUGGUACUGUAGCAGGUUGUUGUAGGGCAUUUUAAUUCCUUGUAGAAAUAACACUAGUAAAUUCUUAUUGGAUAUGGGCAGCAUUCUCCUUGACAGACACAAAAAAUCAUGGGGGCUUUUUGCCUUUAAACCCUAAGUUUCACCCCCAUUAUUUUUAAACCACUUAUUCUAUCUAUACCAACACACCUAAAAUACUUUUCCUUUUUAUCUUUACACCCAAAAAAUUAAGUACACCUUACUUCAAUAAAGUAUUUACACAAAAGCAAGGUUGCUGAUAGCGGAUCGCGGCGCGUCGCGGCGAGGUACCGCUAAGGCUAUAUCGGGCUAUUGCGACGAAAUCGCGGCAAAUAGCGCACAAUCAAAUAGCGGUCAAAUUUAAAUAUAUUUAAAUAUCCUAAAUAAUAAGAAAAUUCAUAAAAAAAUCUAAAAAUUCAAUUAGUUGUAAAUUUCUUGUAUUAUCAAUAAAUAACAAUUAAUAAGCUUGUUGUAUGAAUGAAACUAUGAAGAAAUUCAAGAAAUAUAGCAUCAUAAUAUGUGUGAUAGCGGGUUUAGCGGGUUUAGCCGCUUUUAACAACAAAAAUCCGCUUUUAACCAUGAAAAUCCGUUUUUAACCGCGACAACCCGCUUUUAACCGCGAAAACCGCUUUUAACCCGCUAAAAUCCGUUUUUACGCGCUAUUCGAAUGAAUAGCGGAUUUUCCCGCUUAAGCCAGCCGCGAAACCUCUACGCGUAGCGCUGAAGGGCCGCGACCGCUAUUCGCGCCGCUAUAGCCCCGCUAUUGACCGCUAUUUACAACACUGCACAAAAGUAAAAUUAAAAACCCCGAAAUGCCCUUCUCUUCCUCCUCUCUUAACCCAAAACUCAUUCUUCUGCUUCUCACCCUCUCUACAGGCUCAACCUCUUUGUGGAACUUACAGAAGUUGGUGGCGAUGGAACUUAUAGAAGAUGGUGUCAACUGUGGAGGGAGGGCGUCAUUUAAGUGAAGAGAAUAGGCUUUUUCUGUUAGUGAAAAGAAGAAUAAGGGUAAUUUGGGUAUUUUGUUUAUUAAAGAAUACAAUAUAUUAUUUAUGUAAAUACUUGUAUUUAUACUAUUGGGUUUAAAGAUGUAUACUGAUGGUAUUUUGGGUUUAUGA
Molecule: RNA transcript, 4604 nt
Organism: Asparagus officinalis (garden asparagus)
Lineage: Eukaryota; Viridiplantae; Streptophyta; Magnoliopsida; Asparagales; Asparagaceae
Gene name: probable receptor-like protein kinase At5g61350
Exons: 2
Source: RefSeq, a predicted model, not a curated record